This 364-nucleotide unclassified non-coding RNA is filed under the name uncultured Chloroflexota bacterium. RNAcentral describes it as "uncultured Chloroflexi bacterium contains 16S-23S intergenic spacer region". The record is from RNAcentral. Lineage: Bacteria; Bacillati; Chloroflexota.
UCCGGGUUGGUCCCGGCGGUCCCGCCAGACGUGGUAACUGGCGGCGGGGGUUGCGCUCGUUGCGGGACUUAACCCAACACCUCACGGCACGAGCUGACGACAGCCGUGCAGCACCUGUGCACGCUCCCUCGCGGGUCCCUCGGGUUUCCCCUCGGUACCACGUGCAUGUCAAGCCCGGGUAAGGUUCUUCGCGUUGCAUCGAAUUAAACCACACGCUCCGCUGCUUGUGCGGGCCCCCGUCAAUUCCUUUGAGUUUUAGCCUUGCGGCCGUAGUCCCCAGGCGGGGUGCUUACUGCGUUGGCGACGGCACCGGGGGGGUCGAUACCCCCGACACCUAGCACCCAUCGUUUACGGCGUGGACUAC